UACGUAGGGUGCAAGCGUUAUCCGGAAUUAUUGGGCGUAAAGAGCUCGUAGGCGGUUUGUCGCGUCUGCUGUGAAAACCCGAGGCUCAACCUCGGGCCUGCAGUGGGUACGGGCAGACUAGAGUGCGGUAGGGGAGAUUGGAAUUCCUGGUGUAGCGGUGGAAUGCGCAGAUAUCAGGAGGAACACCGAUGGCGAAGGUAGAUCUCUGGGCCGUAACUGACGCUGAGGAGCGAAAGCGUGGGGAGCAAACAGG
This 253-nucleotide ribosomal RNA is filed under the name uncultured bacterium. RNAcentral's name for it is "partial 16S ribosomal RNA". It matches the Rfam family "Bacterial small subunit ribosomal RNA", at positions 524 to 776 of the family's 1533-position model. The record is from RNAcentral.